Molecule: non-coding RNA, 22 nt
Filed under: Mus musculus (house mouse)
Lineage: Eukaryota; Metazoa; Chordata; Mammalia; Rodentia; Muridae
Source: RNAcentral
GUGGUUCAUUAGAAUCUGGGAG